CCUACGGGUGGCAGCAGUAGGGAAUCUUCCACAAUGGACGAAAGUCUGAUGGAGCAACGCCGCGUGAGUGAAGACGGGUUUCUGCUCGUAAAGCUCUUUUGGUAGUGAAGAAAGAUAGAGGUAGUAACUGGCCUUUAUUUUACGGUAAUUACUUAGAAAGUCACGGCUACCUACGUGCCAGCAGCCGCGGUAAUUCGGGGGUGGAAAGCGUUGUCCGGAUUUUUUGGGCGUAAGGCGGGUGCAGGUGGUUCAAUAAGUCUGAUGUGAAAGUCUUCGGCUCAACCGGAGGAUUGCAUUAGAAACUGUUGAACUUGAGUGCGGGAGAGGAGAGUGGAACGCCAUGUGUAGCGGUGGAAUGCGUAGAUAUAUGGAAGAACACCAGUGGCGAAGGCGGCUCUCUGGGCUGCAACUGACGCUGAGGCUCGAAAGCAUGGGUAGCGAACAGGAUUAGAUACCCCGGUAGUC
This 465-nucleotide ribosomal RNA is filed under the name uncultured bacterium. RNAcentral describes it as "partial 16S ribosomal RNA". It matches the Rfam family "Bacterial small subunit ribosomal RNA", at positions 338 to 795 of the family's 1533-position model. The record is from RNAcentral.